This 1275-nucleotide ribosomal RNA is filed under the name Microgaster campestris. Its description in RNAcentral is "16S ribosomal RNA". The record is from RNAcentral. Lineage: Eukaryota; Metazoa; Arthropoda; Insecta; Hymenoptera; Braconidae.
AAUUAAAAAUUUUUAAUAAUUUUUAUACAUUAAAUUUAAAAUUUUUUAAUUUAAAAUAAUUAAAUGAAAUAUGUUUUAAAAAACUUAAAUAAAUUAAUUUAAAUAAUAAAAUUAAUUUUAUACUUAAUUAAUUUUUAAGAAAAAUUUAAUUUUUUUACCUUUUGUAUCAGGAUUAAUUAAAAAUUUAUAUAAAUUUAUAUAAUUCUCGAAUUUAAAAAAUUUAAAUUUAUAAUUAAAAUAAUAUAAAAAUAUUAUAUAAAAUUUAAAUUUAGAAACUAUAUAUUAAACAAUUUUAAAAUUAUCUAGUUAUUUAGAAAAUAAAUUCAAUUUAAUUUUAAUUUUAAAAUUUAUUUUUUUUAAAAAAAAUUUUAAAUUAAAAAAAUAAUUUAAGGGAUAAACUUUAAAUUAUUUUUAUAAAUUAAAUAAAUUAUUCUAUAAUUUAAAAUUAAAAUUAUUUUUAAUUAAAAAAUAUUUAAUAAUUUUAUAACAUUUUUAAUUUAAAUAAUUUUUUAUAAAAAAUUUUAAUAAAAUACUAAAUUAUUAAAUCAAAUUUUUAAUUUUAAAAAAAAAUGAUUAAAUUAGUAAUUAUUAAAUUUUAAAUAAUAUAAUUUUUUUAAUUAAAUUAAAUUUAAUAAAUUAGGCAAAUUUUAUAUUCACCUGUUUAACAAAAACAUGUCUUACUGAAAUUAAUUUUAAGUCUAAUCUGCUCAAUGAAUUCAAUUAAAUAGCUGCAGUAUUAAUAACUGUACAAAGGUAGCAUAAUAAUUAGUUUUUUAAUUAAAAUCUAGAAUGAAUGAUUCAAUGAAAUAUAAACUAUAUCAAAUUUAAUUAAUAAAUUUUUUAUUUAAAUUAAAAAAUUUAAAUAAAUUUUAAAGACGAGAAGACCCUAAAGAAUUUUCAUAAUUUAUUUAUUUAUUUAAUAAUUAAAUUAUUUUAAUUGGGGAAAUUUAAAAAUUUAACAAAUUUUUUAUUUAAAAAACAUUUAUUUUUGAAUAAAUAUUAAUUUUUUAAGAAAAUAAAUUAAAUUACCUUAGGGAUAACAGCAUAAUUUUUUUAAUAAGUUCAAAUUUAUAAAAAAGUUUAUGACCUCGAUGUUGAAUUAAGAUUAAUUUAAUAGAAAAAUAUUUUAAAUUUAAGUCUGUUCGACUUUUAAAAUCUUACAUGAUUUGAGUUAAGAUCGGUGUAAACCAGAUCGGAUUCUAUCUUAAUAUAAAUUAAAUAUUUUUGUACGAAAGGAAUUUAUAUUUAAAAUAAUUUUUUUUAUUAAAUAAUUUU